CAAUAGCGUAUAUUAAAGUUGUUGCAGUUAAAAAGCUCGUAGUUGGAUUUCGGGGCAGCCUGGCUGGUCCGCCGCAAGGCGAGUACUGGUCAGCCGCCCUUCCUCUCGAAAGCCCCGACUGCUCUUUAUUGCAGUGGUCGGGUAGUUCGGGACGUUUACUUUGAAAAAAUUAGAGUGUUCAAGGCAGGCCUACGCCUGAAUACAUUAGCAUGGAAUAAUGGAAGAGGACCUCGGUCCUAUUUUGUUGGUUUCCAGGGCCGAAGUAAUGAUUAAGAGGGACAGUUGGGGGCAUUCGUAUUUAAUUGUCAGAGGUGAAAUUCUCGGAUUUAUGAAAGACGAACAACUGCGAAAGCAUUUGCCAAGGAUGUUUUCAUUAA
RNAcentral lists this ribosomal RNA (377 nucleotides) under uncultured eukaryote. RNAcentral describes it as "partial 18S ribosomal RNA". It matches the Rfam family "Eukaryotic small subunit ribosomal RNA", at positions 592 to 976 of the family's 1831-position model. The record is from RNAcentral.